Molecule: ribosomal RNA, 253 nt
Filed under: uncultured bacterium
Lineage: Bacteria
Description: partial 16S ribosomal RNA
Rfam family: Bacterial small subunit ribosomal RNA
Source: RNAcentral
UACGGAGGAUGCAAGCGUUAUCCGGAAUGAUUGGGCGUAAAGCGUCCUCAGGUGGUUGUGUGUGUCUAUUGUCAAAGCAUCAUGCUUAACAUGAUAAAGGCAGUAGAAACUACACGACUAGAGUGCGUUCGGGGCAGAGGGAAUUCCUGGUGUAGCGGUGAAAUGCGUAGAGAUCAGGAAGAACACCGGUGGCGAAAGUGCUCUGCGAGGCCGCAAAUGACACUGAGGGACGAAAGCUAGGGGAGCGAAUGGG